UACGUAGGGUGCAGGCGUUAAUCGGAAUUACUGGGCGUAAAGCGUGCGCAGGCGGUUUCUUAAGUCAGAUGUGAAAUCCCCGGGCUUAACCUGGGAACUGCAUUUGUGACUGCAUCGCUGGAGUGCGGCAGAGGGGGAUGGAAUUCCGCGUGUAGCAGGUGAAAUGCGUAGAUAUGUGGAGGAACACCGAUGGCGAAGGCAGCCCCCUGGGUCAAGAUUGACGCGCUCAUGCACGAAAGCGUGGGGAGCAAACAGGA
Molecule: ribosomal RNA, 257 nt
Filed under: uncultured bacterium
Lineage: Bacteria
Description: partial 16S ribosomal RNA
Rfam family: Bacterial small subunit ribosomal RNA
Source: RNAcentral